AGGGUUCGAUCAUGGCUCAGGAUGAACGCUGGCGGCGUGCCUAAUACAUGCAAGUCGAGCGAACCACUUCGGUGGUGAGCGGCGAACGGGUGAGUAACACGUAGGUUAUCUGCCCAUCAGACGGGGACAACGAUUGGAAACGAUCGCUAAUACCGGAUAGGACGAAAGUUUAAAGGUGCUUCGGCACCACUGAUGGAUGAGCCUGCGGCGCAUUAGCUAGUUGGUAGGGUAAAGGCCUACCAAGGCGACGAUGCGUAGCCGACCUGAGAGGGUGAACGGCCACACUGGGACUGAGACACGGCCCAG
RNAcentral lists this ribosomal RNA (306 nucleotides) under uncultured bacterium. RNAcentral describes it as "bacterial SSU rRNA". It matches the Rfam family "Bacterial small subunit ribosomal RNA", at positions 8 to 334 of the family's 1533-position model. The record is from RNAcentral.